UUUUUCCUUCAGUGUAUCAGCAAUUUUCAUACAUAAACUAAAGGGUUCAGGUGAACAUCUGAUAUGGUGUAGUUAGUGGAUGAAAAACUUACCACUGAAGUUUGAUUAAUAGAAAAUGGGCAUUGAUGCAUUGAUAACUUUCCCUCUGGAGUAUGUUUCAGUCCUGUUAAUAGCUGAUAUUAGAACCUGAAUUUGUUAUGGUAAACGUAAUGACUAUACUGGAUCUAAGAGUUGCUGUGUUGUGCUGUAGUCAGAUAAUCAAAAGAUGAACUGUAAUGUUUAUAUGUAGGAAUUUAUAAUGAAACACUUAAACAAUGUGCUUUUACCAAAUGUGAAAGUAAUGAUAUAAUGGUAUUACCAAGUCUAUGGACAUUUGUUUUGCCUAAUUUAUCACAACUCAGAUAAAAGCUACCUAUGGAAUCUUUGAGAGUACUUUCUCCUCCUUUUCUUAGAAAUUUGAUGCAGAAUGGAUGUCAGGAAAGUGUUAAAUAAAUAGGAAUUUGAAGUUUUGAUGUGAGUUGCACUUUUGGUUGAGAAAGAGAGGAAGGAGGAAGAUUAUUGUGCAAUAAAUCACAUCUUUUUUCCUUGAAUUAUAUGUUAAGAACUUUUCUGAAUGCUGUUUUUCCAUACCUCAAUCUUCAAAUGCCGUAAUGUUAAAUCCUUUGUCUCAUUCUUAAUUGGCCUAGCCAUAUGGAUCCAAAAGGCUUAUUUUUCUGCUGAUGACCAUAGGUAUAGAAGAGUGGAAUGCUAGUACAAGGAUGUAUCUCUGGAAGGAUAAAUUUUUUAGCAUCUAAAUAUUGUUUCCGUUAUAGCACCUUAGUUUAACUGCGGAGGCUCUUAGGUGAACAGCACCAACAUAUUGUGUGAAGUAUUUGUCCUACUCGAAGAUUCUAAUUAUGAACUUCCUUUAUGCUUAUAAAGUGUGUAAAGGCAACCAGUACUUAAUUGGUAUACUCUUGGAUUUGUACUACAUGUUGAAUAUGGUAGUUCAGUCAAUGCCUGUAUUCAUUUGUUAUGGCUUUAAUUUGAAAUGAUUGGGGUGCCGCUCAUUUUGCAGGAAGGAGCAUCUCAACAGCUAU
RNAcentral lists this unclassified non-coding RNA (1079 nucleotides) under Hevea brasiliensis (rubber tree). Lineage: Eukaryota; Viridiplantae; Streptophyta; Magnoliopsida; Malpighiales; Euphorbiaceae. The record is from RNAcentral.